Molecule: RNA transcript, 2085 nt
Organism: Fragaria vesca subsp. vesca
Lineage: Eukaryota; Viridiplantae; Streptophyta; Magnoliopsida; Rosales; Rosaceae
Gene name: G-type lectin S-receptor-like serine/threonine-protein kinase RKS1-like
Exons: 7
Source: RefSeq, a predicted model, not a curated record
UUUAAUGGAUAAAAUCAAUGGAAUUGCAAGACUAACUAUGAAUGGUUCUGAGUUACAGCACCUUACAUGGAGUGAUGGAGACCAUCGAUGGAAGCAAGUCUAUGCUGCACCCAAAGUACGGUGUGAUUGGUAUGCACAUUGUGGUGCCAACAGCAAAUGUUACCCUGACAUAUUCGGUCUGUUUGAGUGUGACUGUCUACCCGGCUUUGAACCAAAAUCUAUCAAUGAGUGGAACCAGAAUGAUGGGUCAGAUGGAUGUGUGAGUAAACGAAAGGAAUUUUCUAAGUGUGGGAAUGGAGAAGGGUUUGUGCAGGUGACAAGAGUUAAAUAUCCAGACACAUCAAUAGCAGCUCGAGUGGCAGCACGCACGAAUAACAAAUUGUGUAGGCAGGAGUGCUUGGCAAAUUGUUCUUGCACAGCAUAUAUGAGCAUUGAAAAUGAAAAAGGUGUUGUUGAUUGUUGGACAUGGUAUGAUGAUUUGAUGGAUAUUCUUGUGUACACAGAGACGGGAAGAGAUCUAUAUGUUCGUGUAGAUCAAAUGGAAUUAGCUGCUGAGAGUGCUGGAAAAUCCAAAGGUUUCUUUAAAAGAAGGGGUAUGCUUGCCAUUCCUAUAUUCUUUGCUCUGCUAGCAUUGGUACUGAUCAUUAUGUGUGCCUGUUGGUGGUGUAAGAAAACAAGGAACACAGCAGAAAUUGUGGAGUCAGAUGAACUUGAGGAAACUAAGAGGCACCCCGAAUUGCAAUUUUUCGAUUUGAACACAUUGAUGGCAGCCACAGAUAACUUCUCUCCUGUCAAUGAACUCGGCCAAGGUGGUUUUGGCUCUGUUUAUAAGGGUCAGUUACCAAACGAGCAGAAGGUUGCUGUGAAAAGGUUGUCUAAAACAUCAGGACAAGGUACUGAAGAAUUCAAAAACGAAGUUGCACUUAUAGCAAGACUUCAACAUCGCAAUCUUGUAAAACUCUUAGGCUGUUGUAUUAAGGGGGAAGAACGGAUGUUAGUUCUAGAAUACAUGCCGAACAAAAGCUUGGACUCAUUUCUCUUUGAUCAGACAAGACGGUCCUUCUUGGAUUGGGAAAAGCGCUUUGAAAUCAUCAACGGGAUUGCUCGUGGGAUCCUGUAUCUUCACCAAGACUCAAGAUUGAGGAUUAUCCAUAGAGAUCUAAAGACUAGCAAUGUUCUUUUAGAUGCUGAAAUGAACCCGAAAAUUUCUGAUUUUGGCAUGGCAAGAAUAUUUGACAGGGACCAAGUUCAGGAUAAAACCAAUCGAGUUGUUGGAACAUAUGGCUACAUGUCACCAGAGUAUGCGGUGUUCGGCAGAUUUUCUACUAAAUCGGAUGUGUUUAGUUUGGGAUCAUAUUGUUAGAGGUUGUGAGUGGCAAAAGAAACAAUUAUUUUUCUCAAGAGGAUCCUUCCAUGAACUUGAUUAGACAUGUUUGGAACCUGUGGAGAGAAGACAGAGUCUUAGAAAUUGUGGAUUCAACUCUGGAGUUGUAUAAUUCUGAUGAGGUCAUGAGAUGCAUUCAAGUUGCGCUCUUGUGCGUGCAAGAAGAAUCAGAGGACCGGCCAGCCAUGUCUGCCAUUGUUUUCAUGUUGAGCGGCGAAACAUCUCCUCCAUCUCCUAACCAGCCUGCAUAUGUCAUCAGAAGAUACUCCGUCACUGAUGCUGAUCCAUCAUUAGUACCAACACCAUUUUAUUCUAUAAACGGCUUGACAAUAACUGGUGAAGAAGCUCGAUAAUGGUACAACUAGCUCUUUUUGUUUAGUUCAUUAUUAAAUUUACUGCUUUGCUAGGCAUGUCACUAUAAAAUCAUCAUUAAUCAGCUGACGAUUUGCAUUGCAAAGAAUAGAAGAUCAGAUUUUGCAUAAGAAAUGUUAGUUCAGGAGAUCAAAUAUAUGUUUCAUCGUUUUCCUUCUAUCGAAUGUAUUCAUUGCCCAAGGAAAUGUAAUCAUGCAGCGCAUAGAUUAUCUAGAUACGCGCUUUUGUUUCUUGCAUUUCAAGUUUUAGAGGAAGGAUCACAAUGGCGUUCCAAUGCUCUCCAACAUGAUGUUUCUCUUUGAUUCAUAUCAAUGAAGUAUUCCUUUCCC